This 467-nucleotide ribosomal RNA is filed under the name uncultured bacterium. RNAcentral describes it as "bacterial SSU rRNA". It matches the Rfam family "Bacterial small subunit ribosomal RNA", at positions 336 to 796 of the family's 1533-position model. The record is from RNAcentral.
UUCCUACGGGGGGCAGCAGUCGAGAAUUUUUCACAAUGGGCGCAAGCCUGAUGGAGCGACGCCGCGUGGGGGAUGAAUGGCUACGGCCCGUAAACCCCUGUCAUUCGCGAUCAAACGUUGGUAUUUAAAAGAUGCCAGCCUGAUAGUAGCGGAAGAGGAAGGGACGGCUAACUCUGUGCCAGCAGCCGCGGUAAUACAGAGGUCCCGAGCGUUGUUCGGAUUCACUGGGCGUAAAGGGUGCGUAGGUGGUGAGGUAAGUCGGAUGUGAAAGCUCGGAGCUCAACUCCGAAAUGGCAUUGGAAACUACCUUGCUUGAGGAUUGGAAGGGGGACUGGAAUGCUUGGUGUAGCAGUGAAAUGCGUAGAUAUCAAGCGGAACACCAGUGGCGAAGGCGAGUCCCUGGACAACACCUGACACUGAGGCACGAAAGCUAGGGGAGCAAACAGGAUUAGAUACCCUGGUAGUCC